This 535-nucleotide non-coding RNA is filed under the name Pongo abelii (Sumatran orangutan). Lineage: Eukaryota; Metazoa; Chordata; Mammalia; Primates; Hominidae. The record is from RNAcentral.
AGGCUGUCCCGCUUCAGGUGUCCUGGCGCAGGCUUUCAGGGAAGGGAGAGCCCCCUAACCUCGUCCCACCUCCCAAAACUUCUCCCCCUGCCGUUGGGCUAUGGUCCCUGGUUCCCUUCACGCCCCCACCCCCAGCCUCAGCUCUGUCUGGGUGGAACGAAUGUCUGCUAAUGAACUAAACAAACAGGUCUCUUAAUCUUAUCAUGGAGCUGACCCAGAGACUGGCACAGAUAUCCAAAGUAUCAUAAUUGGCAGGUCAGAAUUAAAACUACAUGCAUCAUAGUGACUUUAUAGCUGAGGCAAAGUGGAGCUCAAGUGUUACUUUCCCAGUAAACAAAUCAUAAUGAAGUAUCAUGCUGGUGACUAAUUUAACUAACAUUGUCCAGGAAAUUGCUGUUGUCCAGGAAGAAAAGAGUUGAGCUGUGUGUCAGCUACUGGGCUUCUGGCACCAUCCUGCACAAGCAUUGGAUUAUAAGGGACAUUUCCACAUUCUAACUUUACAUGAAGACUCAGGACUUUGAAAGCCCAUGAGAAA